Molecule: long non-coding RNA, 1017 nt
Filed under: Coturnix japonica (Japanese quail)
Lineage: Eukaryota; Metazoa; Chordata; Aves; Galliformes; Phasianidae
Description: lncRNA (ENSCJPG00005008927.1)
Source: RNAcentral
AUGGAAGCGCAGCUAAUGGAGACGAGGACACAUCUGAGGAUGACACCAGAUCCCGUUCCCCGCCUCGCAGCCAGCCCCAGCCUCAAUCCCACCGACAGCGGUGGGACGGGCUCCCAGGACGCCAGGCUCAGCCAGGGCCCGGCAGCGCGGCCGGAGACAGCGGCGGCGCCGCGAGGGAGAUUCGAAACGGAGCGCCGAGCGGCUGCCGCGCGCGGCUCAACCUCCGAACGAGCGUUAACAGACUCCGAGCGGCCGCCAGAGGGACCGGGGGGGCUCGGGGAGCCCCGGGCCGCAGCCGCCGCGCCGGACACGCUUCCUCGGAGCCGCUGCCGCCCCCUGCCGUCCCCUGGCGGGCCCCGCUCUGACAGCCCCCGACCUCCCGCCUCCCAGCCGCCGCCCGGGGCCAGGAGAGAAGCGAGAGGAAGCGAGGCAGCGCUGCUCCCGAGGCGAGCGGCCGGCCCGGCUCGGCCCCACCCGCGGCCUCCGCGUCCCGCGGCGGGAGAAGCGGGAGAGAACGCCGGUGGCUCCGGGGCUCAGCGGCCCCCGGCCGCCUCCGCAGCCCGCACACGGCGCCACGACCGCUCCGUGCCCCCCGACCCCUUCCAUUCCCCCCGGUUCCGCCGCUCAGCGCCGGCCGAAGCCGCGGACCCAGCGCAGCCCCCGCCGGUACCUGCCGGCCAAACGGCCGCCGCUCACCCGCCGCUCACGUACCGAAUCCAAGUUCCCAACCGCAGCCGUCAGCGCAGCCCGGGAGAAACCCCCGCCGGCCCCGCCCCGCGGCCAAUCCGCGCCACGCCCGGCCCCGCGCCACGCCUGCUGCCAGCACUCCGCCUCGCCCCCACGAUGAGCCCUGCCCCUCUCCCCUUAUCUCUCCACCAUUGGCUGAGCCGCCCGUCAAUCCUCAGAACGGCUCCGCUACAGCCUCUCCUCAGAGUUGGGUGCUCGGUGUUCCUUACCCGGCUUGGUCCGUUGCUGUGUCAGAUGAGGGCAUCAGGGCAGAUUCAAAAGUCAGAAUGA